UUUAAUAUGGCAGAUUAGUGCAAUGAAUUUAAGUUUCAUUUAUAUAAAUUUUUAUUUAUUAUUAAAA
Molecule: transfer RNA, 67 nt
Filed under: Florilegus condignus
Lineage: Eukaryota; Metazoa; Arthropoda; Insecta; Hymenoptera; Apidae
Description: tRNA-Leu
Source: RNAcentral